Molecule: ribosomal RNA, 124 nt
Filed under: Oliverpabstia intestinalis
Lineage: Bacteria; Bacillati; Bacillota; Clostridia; Lachnospirales; Lachnospiraceae
Description: partial 16S ribosomal RNA
Rfam family: Bacterial small subunit ribosomal RNA
Source: RNAcentral
UUUAUUUAGAGAGUUUGAUCCUGGCUCAGGAUGAACGCUGGCGGCGUGCUUAACACAUGCAAGUCGAACGAAGCGCUUUGGACAGAUUCUUCGGAUGAAGUCCUUAGUGACUGAGUGGCGGACG